This is a long non-coding RNA of Triticum aestivum (bread wheat), 1500 nucleotides long. RefSeq lists it as uncharacterized. The transcript has 3 exons. The record is from RefSeq and is a predicted model, not a curated record. Lineage: Eukaryota; Viridiplantae; Streptophyta; Magnoliopsida; Poales; Poaceae.
UUAACCGGGAAAAUGAAUCCUGAAAUUUCUGGUUGGACCAAGAGGUAAUUUCUGUUUCCGUAUACCAUGCAGUAGUUGAUGCAGAGUAUUUGUGCAUCCAAAUAGCAACAUGAAUGUGGUGUUAGUAGUUUCUCAAUUUCAGUGUCGGAAAAAUUAUGUGGUUAUUUUUGUAGCAUUUCUGAUGGACCGAUUUUGUGUUGGAGGCCGGUGAUUGGGGCAGGGCUGCAACUCCUAACAGGGCACCAUGCCCUACAAGGGUACAAGUGGCUCACGACUUGAUGGCAUGGUUGGGGCUGGAAUGACGAAGAAGAUUAAUGGGGUGGAUGAUGAGCAUGCUACAACCUGAAUGACAAACAAAAACAUUUAGAUUGGGACACAGAAGAGAGAUGAGGAGGAAGAAAGCAUGAACAAUUCAAGUGAAAGAGAGAAAGAACAUGGACACCCCAAGUCUCUCGGAUUGAUAUGAACAGCUCAGGUCCUCCUGCCAUGGUGCCUGACCCUGAGUUUGCCAACCCCACAUCUAAGUUCCCUGCCAGUUGUGGUGACAAUCUAAUGGGAAUAAGUGCCAGGGACGAGGAAAUGUGGAGACUUGAGGUAACUGCUAUAGCGGUGGUAGGAUCUUGUAUGGAGAAUAGCAGGAGUAAUGUUUGAAUCCUACUAUAGGCAGUGCCUUGCUAUGAAUGGCUGCGACGACGGGCGGGUAUUGGAGUUCAUUGUGGUAUGCACGAUGGAUGUGUGGUCCGUGGAGUGAAGAUCCAUCUAGCAUGAAUUUUUUCGUUCUUCUGUUGGCAAGUAAUCCUAAGACUUUUUUUCCGGGUGAAUACUAAAACUAAUUACCCUACACAAUUCACACUUUUUAUAUUCUUAUGGCACCUAAGUAUAUCUGUAAUUGAAAAAAUGUUCAGAAUUUACUGUAUGAAGGGCGCAUAUAAAUGUUAUUCAGUUUUAUUUGUAGAGAUGCUUGCUGGUAUUUCGUAUUCAUUUCAAGAUUUUAGUAGGGUAUAUGCCUAUAAUUCUUGCUCUCCAUGCUUGCUGAAAUUUUAGUAGCACUCAAUAACACGUCAUGUUUGGCGCACAUGUUCAUGACGUGAAGUAGGUUGUUAUUCUGUAGCAUCCCAAAGUGUAUUGGGCAUCACAACAAUAUGUAUCCCGUUGCAGUGCAUGGGCUUAAAAAUAAUUCUUCAACUUUUUGUUAGUGUCAAAUUGAAUUAUUAGAACAACAAUUGAAUAUAUGUUAUUUAGGCUAACAUACCAAAUUAUUUAGGCUUCCUGUAAUUAUUUGUUUUCAGGAAACAACAUGUGCCAAUGCAACAUAUUCUGUUGUGUCUAUAACUACCUCGCUGUUUUGAACAAUAGACAUCAAAGCUCUCGGAUAUAUGUUUCUUUCUACAACCUGCUUGAACCUAUGAAAGACACUUUGUAGCCUAAUCACAAGAGAUUUAAAAAUACUGUUGCUGACCUAUGAAAGACACUUUGUAGCCUAAUCCAUCUCAAAGAUAU